RNAcentral lists this long non-coding RNA (1194 nucleotides) under Vigna radiata. RNAcentral's name for it is "long non-coding RNA (VRAD_LNC008899)". Lineage: Eukaryota; Viridiplantae; Streptophyta; Magnoliopsida; Fabales; Fabaceae. The record is from RNAcentral.
GGCGACGUUUUUGACGUCUCCGGCGAUUUGGCAUCCCAACCCAUCGCUCCAAAAGACGCAGCCCUCAUGCAAACUAAAGAGAACCAAAUAUUAGGCAAAAAUCUAAAGGGAGGCCCCGCCUCCGUCAUGCAAUCCGCGGCCGCCGUCAACGUCCUCCACGGCGACGUCGGUCAUGGCGAACUCUCCGCCGUGGCAAGGGAGCAAGGCGUUAGCGUCUCCGAAGGCAAACUGGAUGGCCAACGCGUCAUCACCGAGUCGGUAGGAAGACACGUGGUGGGGCAGUUCUUUGAGCCCGAGAUUCCGAUGAAAACCCCGGCCACCGCGCUGGAGCGAGAUGCCAUAACCAUCGGCGAGGCGCUGGAAGCGACUGCGGUGGCCGGAGCGGGCGACAAGCCGGUGGAUGAAAGCGACGCCGCCGCAAUACAAGUAGCCGAAAUGAGAGCCACAGGGAAGAACGAGACAGAGAGUGGGGGGUUGGGCGCCCGGGCCCAGUCAGCAGCCACACAUAACACACGCACUUUGCCUCUGUCCGAAAAGACAACCUUGUCUGAUGUCUUAACAGUAAUUAACCUGUCUUACCUCUUGUUUUUCACCAAGAAUGAGAAAUUAACUGUUACUGUGAAUGUAGGAUGCGAGGGAAAAACUGCAAGCUGAUAAGGCGGUGACGCGAGAAGAUGCAGAGGGAGUGAUUGGAGCUGAGCUGAGGAACAAGUUGGACAUGAAAACUACCCCUGGUGGGGUCGCUGCGUCCAUGGCUGCAGCAGCCACAAUUAAUCAAAAGAGUUAAGUUUCUUAAAUACUAGGUAGUAUCUCUUUUUACGUUGUAUGAGAAUAUUAUUGUAGAUUUUCAUGCUUGUGUGAAACGUGCAGGGAAAUAAGGGAUGAUACAUGAAGAUCUUACAUAUAUGGCAGAGCUUAAGCAAAUAAAUCAAGUCACUCUGAGUUUGACUUGGAACACUACGCUACUUCUACUUCUAAAACUUUUUAGUUUGAACACUUUUUUUGUAUGUUUCACACUCUUUGUUACUUUGUGUACUCGGAUCCUCCUACUUUAAUGGUAGUGUUGUUUCUUUUUUUUUCUACAAGAAAGAUAGAUUCAUUGCUUUCCAUGGGAAAGGGAAGGGAAUUUUGGGCUGAAUAGGCCCAUAGCUAACUUCUAUGAUAAAGACCGAAACCCUAUAUGUAGGUGGGCUG